This 497-nucleotide ribosomal RNA is filed under the name uncultured bacterium. RNAcentral describes it as "partial 16S ribosomal RNA". It matches the Rfam family "Bacterial small subunit ribosomal RNA", at positions 28 to 507 of the family's 1533-position model. The record is from RNAcentral.
GAUGAACGCUGGCGGCGUACCUAAUACAUGCAAGUCGAGCGAACGGACGAGAAGCUUGCUUCUCUGAUGUUAGCGGCGGACGGGUGAGUAACGCGUGGAUAACCUACCUAUAAGACUGGGAUAACUUCGGGAAACCGGAGCUAAUACCGGAUAAUAUUUUGAACCGCAUGGUUCAAAAGUGAAAGACGGUCUUGCUGUCACUUAUAGAUGGAUCCGCGCUGCAUUAGCUAGUUGGUAAGGUAACGGCUUACCAAGGCAACGAUGCAUAGCCGACCUGAGAGGGUGAUCGGCCACACUGGAACUGAGACACGGUCCAGACUCCUACGGGAGGCAGCAGUAGGGAAUCUUCCGCAAUGGGCGAAAGCCUGACGGAGCAACGCCGCGUGAGUGAUGAAGGUCUUCGGAUCGUAAAACUCUGUUAUUAGGGAAGAACAUAUGUGUAAGUAACUGUGCACAUCUUGACGGUACCUAAUCAGAAAGCCACGGCUAACUACGUG